UACGGAGGGAGCUAGCGUUGUUCGGAAUUACUGGGCGUAAAGCGCACGUAGGCGGCUUUGUAAGUUAGAGGUGAAAGCCCGGAGCUCAACUCCGGAAUUGCCUUUAAGACUGCAUCGCUUGAAUCCGGGAGAGGUGAGUGGAAUUCCGAGUGUAGAGGUGAAAUUCGUAGAUAUUUGGAAGAACACCAGUGGCGAAGGCGGCUCACUGGACCGGUAUUGACGCUGAGGUGCGAAAGCGUGGGGAGCAAACAGG
RNAcentral lists this ribosomal RNA (253 nucleotides) under uncultured bacterium. Its description in RNAcentral is "partial 16S ribosomal RNA". It matches the Rfam family "Bacterial small subunit ribosomal RNA", at positions 524 to 776 of the family's 1533-position model. The record is from RNAcentral.